UUUAAAUGUUUCAGCUUAAGAAGUAAUAGCUUAGUAUAAUCGAAAUCUUGUAGUAAAAAGUGGCUCAGAACUUCGAACACAGAAGCCUAAACACAUUUGGGGGAUAAUUUUGCUGGUAAAUAUAACUAUAAAAAUAACAAAUUUGCCGGCUUCACAAUGGUAAAGUUUAGUGCCAAUUCCUCACUCAGUAUUGUCUAAAUGUAGCCUUCUCAAUUCAAAUUCAGUUGUUCAUAUUUUACCCUCUGUACAAUUUCUUUUACAGCAACGCGAAAACGACCUGAUAUUAUCAGCAAUUGCUCGCAUGACAAGUCCCAUUCCAGCGAGUCGACAACACGACUUCUAGGGGCUCGUCUCAGACAACCAUAAAAAUCAGCCACCUGCAGAAAAUAAAUUCAUAGCUUAAGAAGACAUUGUCAAAAUUGGCAAGAGAAAGAUUAAAAAGCUUUUUAAGACACCUUGAAUGCUAUCAGGCCCUACGUCCCCAAGAUAUCCUGUACAUAUAUUGAGACGUCAGCUCCAGUUAUUUGUGUGAAACACAAAAGAAGGAGGUGGUUGCUCGAGCACUGCUAGUUCGCUUCAAACUUGUACUUUCAUGAUUUGAAAGGGUACAGACAUCUGUAAAAAUUGCUUGACGUGCCAACUGUAAGGUUAAUAAAGCAGUGGUUAUCAA
Rhipicephalus microplus (southern cattle tick) is the source of this 670-nucleotide long non-coding RNA. NCBI's taxonomy places the organism in Eukaryota, Metazoa, Arthropoda, Arachnida, Ixodida, Ixodidae. The record is from RefSeq and is a predicted model, not a curated record.